CGGAGAAGCAGUGGUGGGUUCCAUGUGAUGGUGGAGUAGGAGGCAGGUCUCCGCGAUUUCCUAGUGUAUGUAUAUGAGAGUUUCUUGAUCUCUUUAUCUGUGGAUGAACAGCUACUUUGAAACAUAUGGUACAUUUGUGUUAAGGCUAGUCACCCUGCUGUGGAAUAGAAGGCCAGAAUUGAUCAGUCUCAUCUGAGAGUAA
RNAcentral lists this long non-coding RNA (202 nucleotides) under Homo sapiens (human). Its description in RNAcentral is "non-protein coding lnc-POTEG-14:14". The record is from RNAcentral. Lineage: Eukaryota; Metazoa; Chordata; Mammalia; Primates; Hominidae.